GGAUGUGAGAGCAACCUGGCUGCAAAAUCUGUUACCCCAUUGAUCGCCAGGGUUGAUUCGGCUGAUCUGGCUUGGCUAGGCAGGUGCCCCCUCCUCUCUUGCUGAUCCAUGUGCAUCCCUCCCCAAGCUCAGUGGAAGAUGAUGACCUUCUCCCCAGAGGAGGGUAAAAGAGUAGCUGCUGAGCUCCCCCGCUAGAAUCUCCAAAUAAGCUCUCAAAGAAGUUGACUAGUUUCCCUCACUUGUCAAGAAUUUUGUAGAAAACUUUAUUG
Molecule: small nuclear RNA, 269 nt
Filed under: Myotis davidii
Lineage: Eukaryota; Metazoa; Chordata; Mammalia; Chiroptera; Vespertilionidae
Description: 7SK RNA
Rfam family: 7SK RNA
About the family: 7SK was discovered as an abundant small nuclear RNA in the mid-70s but a possible function has only recently been suggested. Two independent studies have found that 7SK RNA binds the CDK9/cyclin T complex (known as elongation factor P-TEFb).
Source: Rfam by way of RNAcentral